Long non-coding RNA from Odocoileus virginianus texanus, 253 nucleotides. RefSeq lists it as uncharacterized. The record is from RefSeq and is a predicted model, not a curated record. Lineage: Eukaryota; Metazoa; Chordata; Mammalia; Artiodactyla; Cervidae.
GGCUGUAGCUGAUGCCCAGCUGUACCGUGGGGCGGAGAAGUGCUGCUCUGCCUGCCCGAAGGCAGCGGGUUUGCCUCUGCUGAAUCUUCAAAGCUCCUCGAUCCACACAUCGGUGGAGGGUUGGAUUUCCCUAGGAGAAGACCUGAGACAAACACGGAGUCAACCUUCUUUAUUUGAAGGGAAGCCUGGAGGGACCAGGACGGGAGAGGGAAAGAGGUCCUGGUAAGAAACACAGAACUAACAAGUGACCACC